GUGUUUGCUUCAGCAGCACAUACACUGAAACUGUAAUGAUAUAGAGAAGAUUGGCAUAGCCCCCACACAAGGAUGAUGCACAACUUCGUGAAGCAGCUUUGUUACUA
Molecule: small nuclear RNA, 107 nt
Organism: Jaculus jaculus (lesser Egyptian jerboa)
Lineage: Eukaryota; Metazoa; Chordata; Mammalia; Rodentia; Dipodidae
Source: Ensembl